UACGUAGGGUGCGAGCGUUGUCCGGAAUUAUUGGGCGUAAAGGGCUCGUAGGCGGUUUGUCGCGUCGGGAGUGAAACCUCGGGCUUAACUCGGGGCUUGCUUCGAUACGGGCAGACUAGAGGUAUGCAGGGGAGAACGGAAUUCCUGGUGUAGCGGUGAAAUGCGCAGAUAUCAGGAGGAACACCGGUGGCGAAGGCGGUCUCUGGGCAUGAUCUGACGCUGAGGAGCGAAAGUGUGGGGAGCGAACAGG
Molecule: ribosomal RNA, 250 nt
Filed under: uncultured bacterium
Lineage: Bacteria
Description: partial 16S ribosomal RNA
Rfam family: Bacterial small subunit ribosomal RNA
Source: RNAcentral